Molecule: long non-coding RNA, 262 nt
Filed under: Pan troglodytes (chimpanzee)
Lineage: Eukaryota; Metazoa; Chordata; Mammalia; Primates; Hominidae
Description: long non-coding RNA NONPTRT011704
Source: RNAcentral
AAUAGAUGAAAGGCAGAAGUGGCGAUGGGUGACUGAUGUGGCACACUUAUGAAGAAAAGCCUCUUUUUCCAUGCUUGUUUUUCCUCCCCAAGGAGCCAACAGAGUUUCUAUUCUCCAACUCUGCUCUUCACCUUACCCAAGUCAUUGCAGUCACCUGGAGUCACGGAAAUGACCAUGAUUGCCUGAACUUUCAUGACUUCUGUGGAUAACUGUGGUUGCAGAAAAGAGAAAACCUGGACCGUGAGGGACAUUUCACUCCCUG